Molecule: non-coding RNA, 1888 nt
Organism: Camelina sativa (false flax)
Lineage: Eukaryota; Viridiplantae; Streptophyta; Magnoliopsida; Brassicales; Brassicaceae
Source: RefSeq, a predicted model, not a curated record
UUACUUUAUUUACAUAUAUUUUUCUUUUUUUUGUAUUUUUUUUUUUGUUGAAACGGGAAUACGGAUCCUCUCUCGGGUCGGCUCGGGCGCUCGUUCUUCUUCUAAUUUUUUUGGAUCCGGUCUCGCAUUUGUUCUUUUGUGAUUUUUGGGAAUUCCGAAUUUGAUCAGUUUUGUUAAAAAAUUCGUAUCCUGUGUUCCGCGAAUUAGGUCUAUGUGCUUGUUUUUUCUUCGUUUGUUUGGCCGUUUCCGGUGAAAUUCUUCCCGGGAAAAUGUAAUUCACGGCGUCGUUUUAUCAGUUUCAAUGGUUAAUUUGAUUUUGAUUUUAGUCUAAACUUUAUUUCAAUUCGUUUUGUUAAUUUUAGGUCUAACUCUCUGCUACUUUUUUUUUAUUUUAUUUUUUCUCUGUGUUUGGUAACAAGAUUAAAUCCUAAUUAAGGUGAGAUGACAUAUGUUACUGGGCACAGUUCUUCGGUUAUCUUAUACAUGACCGGUACUGGAAUUGGUAUGUAUAUCAUCAGUAUUUUGUAGAUCAAACUCAUUUCAUUUUCUAUGUCUUGUUUGCUUCGUUGUGAUAAUUGGUUCGGAAUACAGCUGAAUCCUCUAUCUAUGAGCAUCGAUCUCAAGUAUCAAUUCUAUUUUUUUCUUUCUUCUAUUUCUAAUCCCGGGCAGCAUCAUUGCUUUUCAGUUUGCUUUAUGUACAUAUCAGAGUAGCAGAAUUUAAUUAUGCUAUCUCCAGUGUUUAUGAUGAUGCAGGAUGGUUCCUUGAGUCAGUCUAUGAUUCUUUACCAAUAUUUCUAUUCAGACAUUUCGAUUAUCUUACGACUCCUGCUUCUUGGAAUUCUGAGCAUCUCUGUAUCUUGUUUUAGUCUUGCAAUAGUUCUUUAUAAAUCCUAGUUAGUUAUAUACAUUGGACUACUUUUGUUGGACAAGGAUUGGGCUUCAUUUUUUAGGUUAGCAGUGACGCUUGUAACUGUGAGCUUGAACACAAACAGGACAUACUUGAAGUUUUUCUUAUUGACAGUAUCUUCUUGGCAUGUAAAGAGUUAUACUUGGGAAGCAAUAUAUGUAUUGAAUGUUUGAUCAGUCUAUGAUUGGAUUGUCUUCUCUCUAGUGCAGGGGCUGGUGGCUUUUGCACAACAAAGUAGAACUAACAGCUCCUGCUAUUGUAGCCAAAUUUACCUACCUUGUCUUCUUGAUAGGGUGACUUUUUUGAGUCAUGGGUUUUCUGAGGGGCUGACAAACAAACAAUAUCUUUGAGAAGAACCCAAAAUAUAUGGGGUAAGCGAGCCUCCACUGGUCGUUGGUGGAAACUUGUUUGCUUCAUGCUAUUGCUAUGAUCCUUUUUCUUCUUGUCUAGUUUCUUGCUUGGUUAUGCCCGCCUCUGUCUUUGAUUGUUUAUUAUCUUGCCAUCUUGGGAAUGGUAAAGCGAAUUCCGCAAUGAUACGCUUUCAGUAACUUAUUGGGGAAUGACAAUGCACUGUAAUCAGCUUGGCGACUUGAUGCUUGCUCAGUUCCUCUCUCUCUCUUUUCGUUUGCUCAGUUACCUUAUUCAAUAAGUUCUCCAGUUCCUCCCUACCCGUUAUACCUCCUGACACCGUUGGUAUGGAGAGAAUGAAGAGACGAGGUUUGAUGUGCAGAGUACCUUAAACUUGUCGCCUGGAGAAUACUUCCCUAUGUCCCCAAGUCAUGCAUCCUCUUUUACGUUAUUUUUUUUUUUCAUCUUCCUGUUUCAAUGUGACAUAAGAAAUGAAAAUUCCAUUAUAGCUAGCUUUUAGCAGUACGUAUUAGAUUGAGAUACUUGUUAUUAGUAUUUGACAUUGAUAUCAAAAUCUUGUGAUUUAUCUGGACGAGAAUAUCGACAUAAUAACAUUACAAAACUAUUACAUCA